UAAAGCAGGUUAAUAGACUGGAUCCCCCUGUGUUCUGUAAAGCAGGUUAAUGGACUGGAUCCUCCUGUGUUCUGUAAAGCAGGUUUAUAGACUGGAUCCCCCUGUGUUCUCUAAAGCAGGUUUAUGGACUGGAUCCCCCUGUGUUCUCUAAAGCAGGUUUAUAGACUGGAUCCC
This is a long non-coding RNA of Oncorhynchus keta (chum salmon), 174 nucleotides long. RefSeq lists it as uncharacterized. Lineage: Eukaryota; Metazoa; Chordata; Actinopteri; Salmoniformes; Salmonidae. The transcript has 3 exons. The record is from RefSeq and is a predicted model, not a curated record.